Molecule: long non-coding RNA, 300 nt
Filed under: Gossypium raimondii (Peruvian cotton)
Lineage: Eukaryota; Viridiplantae; Streptophyta; Magnoliopsida; Malvales; Malvaceae
Description: long non-coding RNA (GRAI_LNC000110)
Source: RNAcentral
CUCCAACCACCUAUUGGCUAAAAUCAAAUCUACCCUUCUACAAAGAAGUAAUUGCAACACCAAUAGUUAAUCCCAACUUGUUACAACCACUCACCCCAAAACCUCACUUACAAAGGUUCAAUCUCUCAUAAAUAACACCUAAUAAUAGAGUACGAAAAUACGAAGAAAAAUAACAAAAUAACUUAGCAAAUUGACAUAGCACUCUCUUAAUAAAAAUCUUCCAUAUGCAUUGCCUGCCUAUUUAUAGGCUUAAUAUGGUAGCCUAUUCGAUUAACAUAGUCCAACAUAAACUCUUUUUCU